GUCAUGUCUUUCCUUAAGAAAGGAAAAUCGGGGCUCAAAAACGAAAAGAAAAGACGAUUAAAGAGAGAAAGGCAAAUGAGGGCAAGCAGUUGCUCACUCAGAUUUUUGAAAAGAAAGUUUCAGACCCUGCAGCAGCAGGCCCCUCAUCAUGGCCUGGUGAAAGCAGUGACAGUGAGACAAGAGUUCUAGCUUUCAUUUGACCACUGGACAAAGAUCAAGUUGGAUCAUUCUGAAAAAUUUUUGGUCUGCCGGAGAAACCCAUCCUCCUUCUCAAUGGAAACGUCAUUCUGUUACCCCAGUUUUCUACCUGACACAGAAAGCAUAAUGUCUGUGAUGCAUGAACUGAAGGAAAAGAACUUAACAGACAACACCCUUCUCUCCAACUUGGAAUUUGCUGAGAGAUUCAUUAGAGACCAUCCUCUAAAACCGUACUCCAAAUUGCUAGUCAAAGGAAAUUACUUUUGUGUACAAAUUGGUCAGAAUCCCUCGCAAGUUUUUACUGUAACAUCAGAAAACAACCAAACCUAUGUCAAUGUCUUUAUAGGCAACCAGUGUGGUGAAAAAAUCAAAACGUCUUUAAUUGAGGCCAGGCACUUUUUCAACCACUCCUGCCAGGAUGAGAUUAAAUCCUGUUUUACACAGGCACAAGAAGCUGUUACUAAAGAGGUUCUGAUAAGAUUGCACAUCAAAUGCAACAGGUUCUCAGUCACAUAUGCCACUCAAUUUAGUGGUCCAUGUGCAACUGUGGAAACGAAAUGUCAGUUAAAGCUAGAGAACCUCACUGCUGAGGGUUU
Long non-coding RNA from Cyprinus carpio carpio, 794 nucleotides. The record is from Ensembl. NCBI's taxonomy places the organism in Eukaryota, Metazoa, Chordata, Actinopteri, Cypriniformes, Cyprinidae.